GGAAGGCAUGACAGAUGUGCCUUCCUUAGGGAGAAGUAGGAAGGCUGGAAUGAGGAGGCCAGAAGAGGAAUGUCCUACGUGAACGUGAUUUAACAGCUCCAUCGCCUGGGGCCACGUGGAAUUCUUGAAGCAGCUGUGUCAGACAUCCGAGUCAAGUUGGGGCAUGAGUGACCUCUCAACAUCUAAUGGAGCAUUUACUCCUUAGGCAGUUGAUGACAAUAGUUCUCCAAACCUGCUGAUCCCAAGGUGGCAGGUUUCCCGGUCAGCUGUGGCUCUGAAGUAGGAGGGGUUUGCAGGAGUAUCACACACAGCUGUAGAAGGAACAGAAUCAGAGCUGGAGAGGGAGAAUUGCUCCAUGGCCAUGAGUGGGUGUCCUCUCAAGCGGAGCCCCGAGUCCAGUAGAACUUGAGGCUUUUCGCCAACCCACGAAGUGCAGAUGGUAACGCUUGCUGUUGUGUCCCUGAGACUAUAUAGGGCCUAGUGUCUGGUUUAUGCCCUUGCACUGGGUCACUCUCACCCUGGAAUCACCCGGCUGGGGACUGAACCUCUCCUGCCACCACUCCAACUCCUCCUGAGACACUCACCUCCUAAGACACUCACCUCCUGG
Molecule: long non-coding RNA, 607 nt
Filed under: Homo sapiens (human)
Lineage: Eukaryota; Metazoa; Chordata; Mammalia; Primates; Hominidae
Description: HSALNT0360368
Source: RNAcentral